UACGUAGGGUGCGAGCGUUGUCCGGAAUUACUGGGCGUAAAGAGCUCGUAGGUGGUUUGUCGCGUCGUCUGUGAAAUUCCGAGGCUUAACUCCGGGCGUGCAGGAGAUACGGGCAUAACUUGAGUACUGUAGGGGAGACUGGAAUUCCUGGUGUAGCGGUGAAAUGCGCAGAUAUCAGGAGGAACACCGGUGGCGAAGGCGGGUCUCUGGGCAGUAACUGACGCUGAGGAGCGAAAGCAUGGGUAGCGAACAGGAUUAGAUACCCUGGUA
This 270-nucleotide ribosomal RNA is filed under the name uncultured prokaryote. Its description in RNAcentral is "partial 16S ribosomal RNA". It matches the Rfam family "Bacterial small subunit ribosomal RNA", at positions 524 to 792 of the family's 1533-position model. The record is from RNAcentral.